GACAGAGGGUGCAAACGUUGUUCGGAAUUACUGGGCGUAAAGCGAGUGUAGGCGGUCUGAAAAGUCGGGUGUGAAAGCCCUGGGCUCAACCCAGGAAGUGCACUCGAAACUGCCAGGCUAGAGUAUCGGAGAGGUUGGUGGAAUUCUCGGUGUAGAGGUGAAAUUCGUAGAUAUCGAGAGGAACACCGGUGGCGAAGGCGGCCAACUGGACGAAUACUGACGCUGAGACUCGAAAGCGUGGGGAGCAAACAGG
Molecule: ribosomal RNA, 253 nt
Filed under: Polyangiaceae bacterium
Lineage: Bacteria; Pseudomonadati; Myxococcota; Polyangiales; Polyangiaceae
Also listed under: 2 other names
Description: partial 16S ribosomal RNA
Rfam family: Bacterial small subunit ribosomal RNA
Source: RNAcentral